Molecule: long non-coding RNA, 327 nt
Organism: Cydia fagiglandana
Lineage: Eukaryota; Metazoa; Arthropoda; Insecta; Lepidoptera; Tortricidae
Exons: 2
Source: RefSeq, a predicted model, not a curated record
AAGAGCGAAUCGCCUAGCGUGGUACGGGCAUGUGAUGCGGAGGGAUGAAAGUCAUGUGACGAAAAAGGUAUUACGAAUGAAUGUGGAGGGAGGUAAUGGGAGAGGAAGACCGAGAAAAGGGUGGAUGGACUGUGUGAGAGAUGAUAUGAAGCGAACGCAAGUGAAUGAUGAGAUGACGGGCGAGAGAGAGGUAUGGAAGAAAAAGACAUGCUGCGCCGACCCCAAAUGAAUGGGAUAAGGGCAAGCGAAUGAUGAUGAUGUCUCUCGCGCAAACUAUUCAGUUUAGAAAAAAUAUAUAUUAGAAACCUCAAUAUCAUUUUUAAAGAC